Molecule: ribosomal RNA, 524 nt
Filed under: Tapes dorsatus
Lineage: Eukaryota; Metazoa; Mollusca; Bivalvia; Venerida; Veneridae
Description: partial 16S ribosomal RNA
Rfam family: Bacterial large subunit ribosomal RNA
Source: RNAcentral
CGCCUGUUUAUUAAAAACAUCGCUUUUUGGUUAUUAAAAUAGAAAGUCGGGCCUGCCCAGUGAGCUAUAUUAAACGGCUGCAACGAGAGUUGUACUAAGGUAGCGCGAUAAUUUGUCUCUUAAUUGGAGAAUGGUAUGAAAGGUUUGUCGCAAGUAAAUUGUCUCUAGAAAGAAAAAUGAAGUUUCCUUUUAAAUGAAAAGGUUUAAGUACGGUUAAAAGACGAGAAGACCCUGUCGAGCUUAAUUAUUCUGGUCGCUUAAGAGUAGUUUUCAAGCUUUUAGAAGAAUGGUAGUUGGGGAGAGCUGGGCUCUAUAUAAUGAGCCCUUUUUAAAACGAAGAUCCUUUUUGAGAGAUAAUAGGCAAAAGCUACCGCAGGGAUAACAGCGUAAUCUUUCUUGAAAGAUCUUAUUGAGGGAAAGGUUUGCGACCUCGAUGUUGGAUUAGAAUAACUGUUUGGUGCAGCAGCUAAAAGAAGUGAGACUGUUCGUCUCUAAAAUUUCUACAUGAUCUGAGUUCAGACCGG